CGUAAAAACGCGUUUUCCCGCAAAAACGCAUUUUCCCGCAAAAACGCGUUUUCUCGCAAAAACGCAUUUUCCCGCAAAAACGCAUUUUCCCGCCAAAACCCAAAAACGUGUUUUCCCUCCAAAACCGCAAAAACACAUUUUCCUCUAAAACCACAAAACACGCUUUCCCGCCAAAACUGCAAAAACUCGUUUUCCCACAAAAACGUGGUUUUCUGCCUAAAUCGCAAAAACUUGUUUUCCACAAAAACCACAAAACGCGUUUUCCCGCCGAAACUGCAAAAACUCAUUUUCCAGCAAAAAUGCGUUUUCCGCCAAAACCACAAAAAACGUUUUCUCAUUUCGAUCAACUUGGUCUUAACUUAAAAAUAAUUCAUUAUAAAGAUGUUGGGUUGAUGGGUCAAACAUUAACCCAUCUAACAUAUUUAAUUUAAUGGAUCAUCGGUCAACCCAACCUAUUUAUUAAAUGGGUUGGGUUGACCCAUGACCCAUUAACAAUAAACUCAUUUGGGUUAUGGGUUGGAUUGACCCAUUUGACCCAUUUUGACACCCUUAAAAGGAGAUAUCAAAAUAUAAGUAUGUAUUUUCAUAUGAUGUAUAAUUUAAUUUAAACGAUAUGAAAUAUAUAUAUAUAUUAACAUAAACACCUAUUAAAAUAAAAUUAUUUAUUUAUAUGAUUUUAUAAUCAUUAUAUCUUAUUAUAGAAAAUUCUUUUAACUUUGAUCACAAAAGUAUAUGUGAGAGUUUUAAUAGUUUUAGUAAUUUAUACUCGUUUUGAAAAAUUUAAAAUACAACAUAUACAAAAAAAUCUAAAUUUUUAUUAUAUGAUUAAUGUAAUUGUGUAAUUUAUUAUAAUAAUAAAUAAUUAAACAAAAAUGAUAGAAAAUAUAGAGAUUGUUAGCAAAUCUUUAUUGUUUAAAAUCAUUAAUUAUCAUAUAUAUCUUAAUCACAUUAGGUAAUUGCGUAUGUUUUAUUUAAGAAAAUAAUAUAUAAUCAUUUCAAGUUGAUAAAUGAAUAGUGCAUAAUGGACAUAAUAUAUAUAUAACAUUCUUUAGCAAUUUAAUUUUGGACUAACAAAAUUCUCAAUUGAUUCUUAAGCCGGCAUGUAAGCAAAAUUAGCAUUUUAAUUAUGUGACAAUUCAGCAUGACAUUUUUUUAAUUAGUAAAAUCUACAUGUUAUAACUUUUUAAAUGUUUCUCUAUUAAUAUAUAGGGGAUGUUUAUUGUUUUGGUAAUUUCUAGGGAACAAUUACUUAACUCUUCAUAUCAAAUCAUAAUAACAUUUGUACAAUUUAAACAGAAAAUAAAUACAAGUAUCUUUUGGAAUAAUUUUGGGAUCUAUAGACCAACAGACAAAUAUCAAAAUUGACCAGAAACAUUGAAAAAUCUUAUGUUAAUUAUUUGGUAACUUGCGACAAAAAUAUUAGGUAAUUAUAGAGAUAUCUGCUUCUAAGGCAAAUAUCUUAUAUUUAUAAAUUUGCUUCCUCUUUUCUUCUUGUAGACAACUAACCCCUCACCCCACCCCAGGCCCUAAAAACAAUGGUGAAGGCAAGCUUGUUUCUAGUUGCAAUACUUUCUAGCUUCAUGGCCAUUACAUCUCUUGCACGGCCAUACCCGACUCUUGAUGCACAGGUUUUAAUUUUAUGGUGAAGUUAAUUCUUAAUAGACUUGGAAACUGAUUUAACCUACCAUGUAGACCAUUUUACACACUCUUUCCAUUUUCUUUUAAUUGACGUUUUAAAAUCAUUGUAUCAAUAUAUUUGACGCUUACAAAAAAACUAUGCAAAAAAUAAUGACCAAUGGACUUUUAUUUACCCUUGUGUCGUUAACAAAUUCAAGUUUCAAAGUGCAAUACGAGAGAUGAUAUUAAAUUUAUUAAGAAUGGUAAAAAUGAUAUUGUAUUAAUGCCUUAAUCUGGGUGAAAAUCAUACAACUUCAUGUAAAAGAAAACAGAUUAUAAUUCAUCCAAUAUGCUCAAAUGUUCAAUCUUAAAACUUAAGUACCAAAUAACUGUGUUGUUCAAACAAUGAUAUAUAGAGUAGGUUCAGAAUUAAGAGUAGGGGAAUUGUAUCCUACAUGCAUCAAACAAAUUAUAAUUCAUCCACUAACUAAAAAUCAUAUUUUUUCAAUAUACACUGUACACAUUAUAGAUUAUUUUCAUAUUACCCUUGCAACCAACCGGUGAAACCUACUAACAAAAAUAACUAAAAAAUAUAUAAAAGACUUUUAGCCACAUCUUCUAAUCCAUCACCACCACCUCCACGUCUCUACUCCACCAUCUCUUUCCAAUGUCUCUCUUUCUUCAGAUUAUAAAAAAAAUCAUACAUUUUCUUAUGUCACAUAAUUCUUCUCUUUCAAUACUUCACCAAAAGAACAAUCAAUUGUUCUAAAGAAGAGACAACGAUGAAGUCAUAGACGAUCCAGUGGUGAAGAACAGACAACGAUGAAAGCGUAGACAAUCCAGUGGUGAAGAACAACGACGGCGAAUCAGUUAAAGCAUCAUCGUGUCGGGAAAAAGAGAGGAGAUGAAGAUGAUCUCUAUAUGGUGGUGAACGAAAUGAAUAUGUAUCAGCCUAUCUAAAAAAAUGAAUUAAAGAAGAUGAAUUCGUUGUCUAUACUAUAUUUGGUGAAAUGAAGUAUAGUAUAUGUUUUUAAGUAUAGCUACUUAUGUACAGUUACCAUACUAUUUGAGACAUAUUUUUAUACUACUCCUUAAAAAUGUAAUAAUAUGUCAUGUUUUUAAAUUUGAUAGGUCUCUUCUUUGUCAAUUUGUGUGAUUGAUUGUAAUAUGAAAUUCAUUUUUCGAGUGUUGGACAAAUUUGAUUAUUUGGAACAUUCGUUUACUAUACUACUUGGACUAUAUAUAAUAUAAGAUAUGCAAUAUGCUAACCAAGUAAAUGUGAUUUCAAGAGUUAAAUCUUGGAAAACAAUUUAUAGAUUGUAUUUGGGUUUAUAGGUUCCUGCCUCGGGUUUAGAUUUACUAAGUAAAUGUUUGGGUAUAGUAAACCAUAUUAUAUACAUUAUAUUUGGGUUUAUACUUCCUUGAUUAGGGUUUAGCUUAAUCUAUUUAUUUAGGUUUAGGGUUUAGGGUAUAUUUGGAUUAGGGUUUAGUGACUAGAAUGUAAGGUUUAGUAUUUAGAAGGUGAGGGGGUAUGGUUGGGGUGAGCAUUAGCUUCUUUCAUGCAAUCAUAGAUAUUUUAUAGUUUCACCAAUAUGUACGAUGUCAUUUAUUUUGAUCCAUUCUAUUUGGGUUUUGUGUUUAUAUUUGAGUUUAAGGUUUAUAUUUUCGUUAGGGUUUAGUGAUUAGAGUUUAGGGUUUAGAUUUACUAAGUAAAGGUUUGGGUAUAGUAAACCAUAUUAUAUAUAUAUAUAUAUAUUCUAUUUGGGUUUAUAUUUUCUUGAUUAGGGUUUAGCUUAAUCUAUUCAUUUCAAGUAAAUGUGCUUUCAAGUGUUUAAUAUUGGAAAACAAUUUAUAUAUUGUAUUUGGGUUUAUAGGUUUCUGCCUAGGGUUUAGAUUUACUAAGUAAAGGUUUGAGUUUAGUAAACCAUAUUAUAUACAUUCUAUUUGGGUUUAUACUUCCUUGAUUAGGGUUUAGCUUAAUCUAUUUAUUUAGGUUUAGGGUUUAGGGUGUAUUUGGAUUAGAGUUUAGUGACUAUAACUUAGGGUUUAGUAUUUAGAAGGUGAGGGGGUAUGGUUGGAGUGAUCAUUAACUUAUUUCAUGUAAUCAUAGAUAUUUUAUAAUAUCACCUAUAUGUACUAUGUUAUUUAUUUUGUUUCAUUUUAUUUGGGUUUUGUGUUUAUAUUUGGGUUUAGAGUUUAUAUUUGAGUUAGGGUUUAAUGAUUAGAGUUUAGGGUUUAGUGAUAUGAACCCGUCAAUGUCGUAGUGUCAGUCUAUUCUAUUCAAUAAUUGAAUAGUAAAACAUUCAUAUAACCUUGCUACUAAAGUCCUCUGAAUUAUUGAACGAGAACUAAAGUUUAGUUCCUCGUACACUCUAAAAGUACUAAACUAUAUCCACCAUGUAGUAUAGUAUUAUGAACCUGGUGAAUGUCAUUAUUUGGAAACGGGGAAAACUGUUUAUAUCUCGGAUGUGGAUUGACAUUUUCAAGUUAGAGUUUAGUGUUAUCAUCUGGGUGGGGGUUUCAAUAACUCAUCCUCGUUGCUCCGUCACUUGUAUUAGUGAUAUGAACUCAUCCAUGUCGUAGUGUCAGUCUAUUCUAUCCAAUAAUAUAGUAGUUGAAUAUCCAUAUAACCUUGCUACUAAAAUUUAUUUCACAGUACACUGUAAACGUACUAUACUAUAUCCACCAUAUAGUAUAGUGGUAUGAACCUGGGUACACUUGAUAUUUGAAAACGUGAGAAACUGUUUAUAUCUUGGAUGUAGGUUGACAUAUCCGGAUUAUAUUAGAGAUAUUCAAUUUCUUAAAGAAUAGUAGCAAGACAUUGUAACUUUACCAUAUUACAUCAUCUACACAUUUGUCAACAUCAAUACUAUUAAAAUGGAAGGAGUCCUAAAAAAUCUACUUACAAAAGGUUGUUGCACCUAUUUAUUUUUUAGUCCAACCUAUAAUAUACAACUAAAAUAUUUUAAACUAACCCCUAUUAUAUAGCAAUUAGCAACCAUAUAAUAUCCUCUAACGUUUAAAUAAAUCUCACCCAGUUUAAUAAGAUCAUGACUAUAAUAUAUGGAAUGUUUCAAAUGGUUAUUUUGCUUAAAUCAUCUUCCUUCAAUUUAACGUAUAUACAUUUGAUAUAAACAACACCGAAGUUUCAAUACGUAAACGUCAUUAUCAUAUAUACUAUCGUCUUCCAUUAGAUCAAAAUUUUCUUACGAGAUCAACUUUUGAAAUAUAAAUGAGCCAUGUCUUAUUAAACAUUAUUGAUCAAACCUCAAGAGUAUUUUCCACCCAAAAUUUUAUAAAAUGAAUCAAUGAAUUUUGCUAGGUCUGUAGUUCUUAGACCUAAUAAGGUAUUUAGAAGAAAAAUAUUUGGGUCAGAUCGAUUUCUUUCGGAUCUGGAUGGUUUCGGCUACAUAAUUCAAAUACCUAUAAAAUAUUUGUUAUUUUUUUGUACGUAACGGGUAUGAAUAUGUUCAGAUAUUUUUUUUUUUUCCGUCAAGGUUUUUUUUUUUUUAUUAUUAUUGCAAAACGAAAAACAAACAACAAAAGCCCGAACCCAACAGUACUGGACCCGGGCCCAGCAAUAUGUUACAAACCAAAAGCCCACAAACAGUCGGGCAACCAUUCAAAACAUAAAACGGGCCUGCAGCCCACCUCACUCAACUCGAAUAUGUUCAGAUAUUUAAGAUUCAAAUUAUACUCAAUAAACAUAAAAAUACUCGAAACACGAAAAAUAUCCAAAAAUCUAAACAAAAACCCGAAAA
Molecule: long non-coding RNA, 5378 nt
Organism: Brassica rapa (field mustard)
Lineage: Eukaryota; Viridiplantae; Streptophyta; Magnoliopsida; Brassicales; Brassicaceae
Source: RefSeq, a predicted model, not a curated record